AAAAAAAAUCAAUAAAAUUAAAUUAACAAGAAAAAUUUCUAAUAUAUAUAUAUUAAUGUGCGUACCGCAAACCGACACAGGUAAUUAAGUAGAGAAUACUAAGGCGUGUGAGACAAUCUAAGUGAAGGAACUAGGCAAAAUAGUAUCGUAACUUUUGGAGAAGAUACACUAGAAUAUUUAUAAAUUUUUUUGUAAAGAACUAGUCUAAGAGGUAAGGUGGCUGCAACUGUUUAUUAAAAACACAGCACUCUGCUAACGUGUAAACGGAUGUAUAGGGUGUGACGCCUGCCCGGUGCUGGUAGGUUAAUUGAGAAUGUUAAUUUAAAAAUAAAGCAUUUAAUAUAAGCCCCAGUAAACGGCGGCCGUAACUAUAACGGUCCAAAGGUAGCGAAAUUCCUUGUCGGGUAAGUUCCGACCUGCACGAAUGGCGUAAUGAUGGUCACGCUGUCUCCAUUUAGAACUCAGUGAAAUUGAAUUUGCUGUGAAGAUGCAGUGUAUUUACGGCUAGACGGAAAGACCCCGUGAACCUUUACUAUAACUUCACAUUGAAUAUUGAAAAUUUUUGUGUAGGAUAGCUGGGAGACGUUGAUAUAUAAACACAAGUUUAUAAGUAGUCAAUCUUGAAAUACCAGUCUAAGAUUUUUGAUAUUCUAAUAUAUUUUUGUAAUCCAUUAUAUAAACAAUGUGUGGUGGGUAGUUUGACUGGGGCGGUCUCCUCCUAAAAAGUAACGGAGGAGUACAAAGGUACUCUCAAUACGUUUGGAAAUCGUAUGUUGAGCAUAAGAGCAUAUGAGUGCUUAACUGUAAGAUAGACAUAUCAAACAGAUACGAAAGUAGGUUCUAGUGAUCCGAUAAUCCUGAAUGGAAAGGUUAUCGCUCAACGAAUAAAAGGUACUCCGGGGAUAACAGGCUAAUACUGCCCAAGAGUUCAUAUCGACGGCAGUGUUUGGCACCUCGAUGUCGGCUCAUCACAUCCUGGGGCUGGAGUUGGUCCCAAGGGUAUGGCUGUUCGCCAUUUAAAGUGGUACGCGAGCUGGGUUUAGA
RNAcentral lists this ribosomal RNA (1044 nucleotides) under Buchnera aphidicola. RNAcentral describes it as "partial 23S ribosomal RNA". It matches the Rfam family "Bacterial large subunit ribosomal RNA", at positions 1583 to 2615 of the family's 2925-position model. The record is from RNAcentral. Lineage: Bacteria; Pseudomonadati; Pseudomonadota; Gammaproteobacteria; Enterobacterales; Erwiniaceae. RNAcentral also lists the same sequence under 1 other name.